GGAAAAGCGCAGCUGGUGGCCCGCAUUCUGGCAGAGGUCCCGGAGUCCGUUACACGCAUGGAAGAGUCGCAGUCCCUUCCUGGAUAUAAUCCUUGAAACACAGAGUUCAAGGGUCAUGGCAGAGACCCUCCUCUGUCCUGUUUUGGAAGUUCAUGGAUGAAAGCCUGUAGCGUGCUCUCCGAAGCUCAGCAGCCGGCUGGCGUCUGCACAGGCUGCUCAGAGGAUCAGCACCAUGGCCUUGGCCAUGUCCUCCUAUUCCAUUACCUCAGUUCUGGGAGACUGAUUGAUUUCCCCAGCAGUGAUGACAGUUCCAGGUGUCGACCCCAGUGGUGGAUGAAGGAGAUUACAAUUUCCUUUGCUUCCUUUGCUUCCUGGCCCUUGGAUAUCGUCUCUGGUGAAGAGCCCAUUUUUCUGUUGGCUUGUCUGAUUAUUAGCAGUUCGUGAAAAUAUUUAAAAACGUGUUCCUGGUACACGUCCUUUGUCACAAAUAUGUAUGACAUGUCACUCCUAGUCUGUGGCUGGCCUUUCCACUGUCUUCAUGAUGAUGACAUCUUCACUGAUGACCGAAAGUUCUCGAUUUUAGUCAA
Lutra lutra (Eurasian river otter) is the source of this 587-nucleotide long non-coding RNA. RefSeq lists it as uncharacterized. NCBI's taxonomy places the organism in Eukaryota, Metazoa, Chordata, Mammalia, Carnivora, Mustelidae. The record is from RefSeq and is a predicted model, not a curated record. The transcript has 3 exons.